AUGAACAUUCAGCAUCAGUGCUCAUACAGCAGCAUAUUAUUGAGCCGUUUUGAGUUUGAAGAGUGGAGAAGCCUCGGCCAAGUACUGCGGGUCACAUUCCCCACAUCCGAGCAGAGUGGACACAGCUCCAUGGGCGAUGACAGCAGACCCAGGGGUCGCUUUCUGGGCUUGUCUCCAGGCCUUGACCUGAGCAGCACUCAUGCGGAUGACCCCUUGCUCCUUGACAUGGGCCCAUCUGGUGGCUUGGAUGAAGUGAGUGGAGGGUGGGUGGUCAAGUCAGGUGGCUCCUGGCGCAGGCACAUGUCUACUGCAGGCACGUGGGCUCCCAUGCCUCUCCCUCUUUGCUCCCUGUUUUCCUUUUUCUUACUCUCCUCCCCCAUAGUUCUACUUUCCCUGCUCCUCCUCCUUCACCCUGCAGAUCCUGAACUCCAGGCUCACGUUUAUUUGCAAGUCGGAUUGCUUGGCCCACUGGUCACUGGGGCCAGAGCUAGGUGAGCCCCGUCCUCCUUGCGGACCACAGACGCUGGUGCAGGGGUCUGAGAGGGUCUGUCGCCCAGUGGCCGAGGAGGCGGGCAGUUCACCAGAAUCGCUUCGGGCAGCGACCAGGCACUUUGCAAAUACCACUACGAGGCCGUCAUAUCUCUGCUAGUAUUAAAAUUCUUCAGAAUUGUAAUUAUUAUUUGAAAUAGCUUUUUGGUUGACUUAAGUUUUGAAAGAUGAUUCUAAAACAGAUCUAGAGACUCAUUCGAUAGCAAUGACCUUCUGAAAACUUACGUUAAGUGGGACUGCCCGUAGGUGAAAUCAUAGGCCAGACGUCCUUCCCCUGUCGAUUGCUGUGGAGCUUGUCAUCCUUAGAGGCUCCAGAAUGGCCGUGGUGUUUUAAGUGUGCUCUUUUAUUAAAUGCUUGUUUUGUAAUUCGGUACGGAGAGUUUACAGAGAGUUUAACCUUGUAAUGUACAUUUUUGUAUGUCAGCAGUCUUUUAAGUAGCCUUAUCCUUAUUUAAAUAAAAGGAGUAAAAUUACUGAGUAGGUCUGUCAUUCAUAACAAAAAUAAAACGUGAAAACACGUAGUGAUCUUUUUUUGACUAUAUAGAAACUUGUUUAUUCCUUAUAGUAAGCCUUCUGUACCUGGAUCGACGUCUCAGUAGUCUAGCCGCAUCUUGGGCCCGCGUGAGGGGCUGAGUGGGGGUCCUUGGGCUGCCCGCUGGUAGCCCCUGUGCUUCCAGGGAUGGCCACCAGCCCCCAUGUGUCCUCGGUCAGCUCUCCUGGCAAACAUGNNNNNNNNNNNNNNNNNNNNNNNNNNNNNNNNNNNNNNNNNNNNNNNNNNNNNNNNNNNNNNNNNNNNNNNNNNNNNNNNNNNNNNNNNNNNNNNNNNNUGGCCACCAGCCCCCAUGUGUCCUCGGUCAGCUCUCCUGGCAAACGUGGACUGACCAGAGGUUCAGCUGAGGGGUGAUAUUGUUUCUGGAGUAAUCUUGAAAAAGUUACCUCUUUUUACUGAUGUUUUACUGUUGGAAAUUAAAGCUCUAAAUUAACUAAUGAAUUUGGAAAAGCCUCAGGUGACUUUCUACCUUGAACUUAAACAUAGAUCUUUUUUUUUUUUUUGUCUGGACAGAAGAGACUAAAAAACGUCUCAUUUCCAUUUAGAUCAGUUUUACCAAAGUGCCUUUUGCUGACUGAUGUUCUCUGUGCUGUCUGUACUGAACUUGGUUGUCUUCCUUGUUGUGGCAGAAAAGAUAAAGAUGUGAGUUAAGUUCCUGCCCAGUGGAUGGUAGAUAAUCGCAAUGAUAGGAGGAAACUCAGACUCUGCAGUGCAACAGUGAGGGAUGGGGGUGGUGAGGAGCAUUAGGGAAGGUCCCCCAGGAAGAGAUAGUGCUUUAAGGGGAGGCAGCUUGGAAAGCUUUCAGAAGAGUCCUGUUUGUCGUGGGGUUCAAAGGACUGUGUGGUCAUUGCUGCUCUGCCCAUAAAAGGCAGAGUCUGUGUCCCACUGCUGGGUGUGGAACCAAUCACGUGCUCACGCUUGGACCCAUGCUACAGCUGUGGGAAAAGCCCACUGGAGAACCGUCCCAGCCAGCAGUCAGUGUGCCCGCAGACCCCUGACUGUGGGUCACCCUUCUCCACUGCCAGAUGAGACCAGCAGCGGCAGCUGACUUGGAAUCAUGAGGAGCAGAAAGUGUUGGGGUCUUUGCUCCCAGUCCUGGAUAACUCAGACACCAGCUAGGUGCAGAGUGGGGUCCUGCAGAGUGGACAGGGUCUCAUGGCAGAAAGGCCGCUGUGGCUCAGAUCAGUGAGAGCAGGGAGCCUAUUAUGAAAUUACCCAGGAACCAGGGGUGGAGUUGGGCAGGGGCCAGAAAACCUAGGACUUACACAGCCGUGUAGGAAUUAGGAUUUGAUUCUAAGAGUUAACUAGAAGCCGUUAACUGUGUCCAGCCUUAACUAAACAUUCAGUUUAAUCAAAGGACAGAAAUAAGACUAGUUCAGUAAGUACGUAAUAGCUCUGUACAUUUUUUCUAGUAAAAAUUAUUGAUCUUUUUUAAGCAUAUUUGAACUUUAAUAUAUAUAUAUGCUAACAAUUAAAGCUUUUGUUGUUGCUGUUUGGUUGCUAAGUUCUGUCUCUUUGCAACCCUGUAGCCUGCCAGGCUCCCAUGCAUGGGAUUUCCUAGGUAAUAAUACAGGAGGGGGUUACCAUUUCUUCCUCCAGGGGAUCUUCCCCACCCAGGCAUUGAACAGGCAUUGAACCUGCAUGGCAUGCUGAAUCUCAGUUCCCUGAGCAGGGAUUGAAUCCAUGGCCCCUGGAAAGGGGAUGUGGAAGCACAGAGUCUUAACCAGUGACUGUCAGGGAAGUCCCAUAAAGUGUUGUUUAU
RNAcentral lists this long non-coding RNA (2861 nucleotides) under Capra hircus (goat). RNAcentral's name for it is "lncRNA (ENSCHIG00010015870.1)". The record is from RNAcentral. Lineage: Eukaryota; Metazoa; Chordata; Mammalia; Artiodactyla; Bovidae.